This 449-nucleotide ribosomal RNA is filed under the name Salmonella enterica subsp. enterica serovar Infantis. RNAcentral's name for it is "bacterial SSU rRNA". It matches the Rfam family "Bacterial small subunit ribosomal RNA", at positions 1 to 446 of the family's 1533-position model. RNAcentral also lists the same sequence under 6 other names. Lineage: Bacteria; Pseudomonadati; Pseudomonadota; Gammaproteobacteria; Enterobacterales; Enterobacteriaceae. The record is from RNAcentral.
AAAUUGAAGAGUUUGAUCAUGGCUCAGAUUGAACGCUGGCGGCAGGCCUAACACAUGCAAGUCGAACGGUAACAGGAAGCAGCUUGCUGCUUCGCUGACGAGUGGCGGACGGGUGAGUAAUGUCUGGGAAACUGCCUGAUGGAGGGGGAUAACUACUGGAAACGGUGGCUAAUACCGCAUAACGUCGCAAGACCAAAGAGGGGGACCUUCGGGCCUCUUGCCAUCAGAUGUGCCCAGAUGGGAUUAGCUUGUUGGUGAGGUAACGGCUCACCAAGGCGACGAUCCCUAGCUGGUCUGAGAGGAUGACCAGCCACACUGGAACUGAGACACGGUCCAGACUCCUACGGGAGGCAGCAGUGGGGAAUAUUGCACAAUGGGCGCAAGCCUGAUGCAGCCAUGCCGCGUGUAUGAAGAAGGCCUUCGGGUUGUAAAGUACUUUCAGCGGGGAG